AGAGUUUGAUCCUGGCUCAGAAUGAACGCUAGCGGCGUGGUUAAGACAUGCAAGUCGAACGAUUUUUUAAAUGUAGCAAUAUAUUUAAAGGAUAGUGGCAGACGGGUGCGUAACACGUGAACAAUUUACCAUUUAGUGUGGAAUAAUUCGCCGAAAGGCGAAUCAAUACCGCAUGUGGUUGCUUUUCGCAUGGGAAGCAUACUAAAGUCAGGGACCGCAAGGCCUGACGCUAUUUGAGAAGUUCGCGGCCUAUCAGCUAGUUGGUGAGGUAAUGGCCCACCAAGGCUAAGACGGGUAGCUGGUCUGAGAGGAUGGUCAGCCACACUGGAACUGAGACACGGUCCAGACACCUGCGGGUGGCAGCAGUUUCGAAUUAUUCACAAUGGGCGAAAGCCUGAUGGUGCGACGCCGCGUGAGGGAUGAAGGUCCUUGGAUUGUAAACCUCUGUCACUGAGGAAAAAACGUUUUGGGUUAACAGCCCAGAACCUGAUUUAACACAGAAAGGAAGCAGUGGCUAACUCUGUGCCAGCAGCCGCGGUAAUACAGAGACUGCAAGCGUUAUUCGGAUUCACUGGGCGUAAAGGGUGCGCAGGCGGUUGUGUGUGUAAGGUGUGAAAUCCCGGAGCUUAACUCCGGAACUGCGCCUUAAACUACAUGGCUAGAGUAUUGGAGAGGGUAGUGGAAUUCACAAUGUAGCAGUGAAAUGCGUAGAUAUUGUGAAGAACACCAGAGGCGAAGGCGACUACCUGGACAAUUACUGACGCUCAGGCACGAAAGCGUGGGGAGCGAAAGAGAUUAGAUACCCCUGUAGUCCACGCCCUAAACGGUGCACACUAGAUCUUGGUGGAUUCGACCCCACCAGGGUCCAAGCUAACGCGUUAAGUGUGCCGCCUGGGGAGUACGGCCGCAAGGCUAAAACUCAAAGGAAUUGACGGGGGCCCGCACAAGCGGUGGAGCAUGUGGCUUAAUUCGAUGCAACGCGAAGAACCUUACCAGGCCUUGACAUGCACUAGAUCGACCCUGAAAGGGGUUUUCUCCUUGGAGCUGGUGCACAGGUGCUGCAUGGCUGUCGUCAGCUCGUGUCGUAAGAUGUUGCGUUAAGUCGUGUAACGAGCGCAACCCCUGUCCUUAGUUGCUACCGGAUAAAGCCGAGCACUCUAAGGAGACAAACCCUUUUAGGGUGGGAAGGUGGGGAUGACGUCAAGUCAGGAUGGCCUUUAUGGCCUGGGCUGCACACGUGCUACAAUGCCCGAUACAAUGGGGUGCAAUACCUUGAGGUGGAGCAAAUCCUUAAAAUCGGGCCCAGUUCAGAUUGUAGUCUGCAAUUCGACUACAUGAAGUCGGAAUCGCUAGUAAUGGCGCAUCAGCUACGGCGCCGUGAAUACGUUCCCGGGCCUUGUACACACCGCCCGUCACGUCAUGAAAGCCGGUUUUUCCCGAAGUGUGUUUUGCCAACCAGUUAUGGAGGCGACGCCCUAAGGUGAGGCUGGUGAUUGGGACGAAGUCGUAACAAGGUAACCGUAGGGGAACCUGCGGUUG
This 1539-nucleotide ribosomal RNA is filed under the name Candidatus Didemnitutus mandela. RNAcentral's name for it is "bacterial SSU rRNA". It matches the Rfam family "Bacterial small subunit ribosomal RNA". The record is from RNAcentral. Lineage: Bacteria; Pseudomonadati; Verrucomicrobiota; Opitutia; Opitutales; Opitutaceae.